ACCCGCUGAACUUAAGCAUAUCAAUAAGCGGAGGAAAAGAAACCAACAGGGAUUGCCUUAGUAACGGCGAGUGAAGCGGCAACAGCUCAAAUUUGAAAGCUGGCCCUUUUAGGGUCCGCAUUGUAAUUUGUAGAGGAUGAUUCGGCGAGGGCUCCUGCCUAAGUCCCCUGGAACGGGGCGUCAUAGAGGGUGAGAAUCCCGUAUGCGGUAGGUUGCCUUAGCCAUGUGAAUCUCCUUCGACGAGUCGAGUUGUUUGGGAAUGCAGCUCUAAAUGGGAGGUAAAUUUCUUCUAAAGCUAAAUACCGGCCAGAGACCGAUAGCGCACAAGUAGAGUGAUCGAAAGAUGAAAAGCACUUUGGAAAGAGAGUUAAAAAGUACGUGAAAUUGUUGAAAGGGAAGCGCUUGCAACCAGACUUGUCCGCAGUUGCUCAGCCGGUCUCCUGACCGGCGUACUCUUCUGCGGCCAGGCCAGCAUCAGUUCGGGCGGUCGGAUAAAGGCCUCGGGAAUGUGGCUCCUCUCGGGGAGUGUUAUAGCCCGGGGUGCAAUGCGGCCAGCCUGGACUGAGGAACUCGCUUCGGCAAGGAUGCUGGCGUAAUGGUUGUAAGCGGCCCGUCUUGAAACACGGACCAAGGAGUCUAACAUCUAUGCGAGUGUUCGGGUGUCAAACCCGUACGCGUAAUGAAAGUGAACGGAGGUGGGAACCCGCAAGGGUGCACCAUCGGCCGAUCCUGAUGUCUUCGGAUGGAUUUGAGCAAGAGCAUAGCUGUUGGGACCCGAAAGAUGGUGAACUAUGCCUGAAUAGGGUGAAGCCAGAGGAAACUCUGGUGGAGGCUCGCAGCGGUUCUGACGUGCAAAUCGAUCGUCAAAUUUGGGUAUAGGGGCGAAAGACUAAUCGAACCAUCUAGUAGCUGCUUCAAAGGGAGUCCU
Molecule: ribosomal RNA, 928 nt
Filed under: Lasiodiplodia theobromae
Lineage: Eukaryota; Fungi; Ascomycota; Dothideomycetes; Botryosphaeriales; Botryosphaeriaceae
Description: partial large subunit ribosomal RNA
Rfam family: Eukaryotic large subunit ribosomal RNA
Source: RNAcentral